Molecule: long non-coding RNA, 529 nt
Organism: Hyla sarda
Lineage: Eukaryota; Metazoa; Chordata; Amphibia; Anura; Hylidae
Exons: 3
Source: RefSeq, a predicted model, not a curated record
UCUGCUGAGCCUGUGUAUCUAAUCCUGUUAUGUGUGAUACUGUCUGCUGAGCCUGUGCAUCUAAAUCUGUCAUGUGUGAUACUGUCUGAUUAGCCUGUUUAUCUGACGUUGCGCAGGGGGACGUCACUCGUCAUCAGAGAGAGCCAGCGUUGCUGUCGCGCACCACCACUACCGCCGCCGCUGGCAUAAAUAGGGUUUUGUGUAAACAGUCAAAAAUUGAAAACAAACAUGAAAAAAAACAUCCAGGCUUAGAACAUUUCGACUGACAGUUAAAGCUGACAUUUUUGAGCCCAAAGCGCUAAAAACUUACAUAACUAUGAAUUUGCAGGUGCAGUAUAAAAUGAGAGAGUUCAUAGGUUGUGAUGAUGGACAAAGAUAAAAACUUUAAAAAGGCCAGGUCAUACAUUAUAAAAUGCCUAUAAAUAUGUAAUAUGGAGAUUUAUUUGAAAAAAAAAACCUGUGCAGAGUAAAAGCGGAGCAGUUACUUAUAACAACCAGAUUGCUUAUUUUAUUUCUCCGAAGCCUUUUU